AUGGGUGCAGGAAGGACAGCCGCCUUUCUCAGAACCCAGCCUGAGACCCAGAACAGAACAAGAAAAGGUCCUGAGAGGGCGUCUUUCUGGAUUUUCUGCCUCAUCAGAGAAGGCAGGGUCUCUCUGUUUCCUCGAACUGCUCUGACGUCUGCCAAACCACAGUCUUCCCUCUCACGGGGAAGCAAGGCAGGAAACAGGCCGUGUCACCCGACAAGAAGGUCGCUUCACCAGGAGGGCAGAAUCCAGGCAGGAGAAGCCUGGGGCGAGCAGUACAGGCCCUUUGCCCUCAGUUCAGUGCAGUGCAGUGCAGUUCGGUUCAGGCGCUCAGUCGUGUCUGACUCUUUGCGACCCUAUGGACUGCCGCACGCCAGGCCUCCCUGUCCAUCACCAACUCCCAGAGUUUACUCAAAGUCAUGUCCGUCGAGUCGGUGAUACCAUCCAACCAUCUCAUCCUCUGACGUCUCCUCCUUCCGCCUUCAAUCUUUCCCAGCAUCAGGGUCUUCUCAAAAGAGUCAGCUCUUCACAUCAGGUGGCCAACGUAUUGGCGUUUCAGCUCCAGCAUCAGUCCUUCCAAUGAACGUUCAGGACUGAUUUCCUUUAGGAUGGACUGGUUGGCCUUAGUAGUUUCAAUUUCUGAGGACAUCUUCUUUUCUCUUUCUAAUAAUACCUACUUUUUCUUUUUAUUUGAUGGUCUUUCUCAAGCUUUUAUCAAGUGUAGUAGAAAGGCUUUCAUAUACAUAUAUAUAAAUAGUAAGUAAAAUAUAAUAUAUCUAUUUUAGGAAAUGUAGGCAUGUUUGCCUAGCUAAAAAAUUUAAGACAUUUUGAUUUCACUUGUUUGACUUAGUAUGAAUAGAAAGCUAGAUUUCUAAUUUUAAAAACAUAGAUACACAACAAGCAAGAAAGGUUUACUGUAUACCACAGGGAAUGAUAGUCAUUAUCUUAUAAUAACAAAGUAAUAUAUGUGUGUGCAUAUAACUGAAGCACCCUGCUGUGUAAGUCAACUAUGCUUCAAUAAAAUAUACAUAUUAAUUUAAAAAAUAAUAAAUAGCUACUUUUCUUUCUUUCUUUUUUUUUUGCUGACCCAGGUGGCUUGUGGGAUCUUAGGUCCUCAACCCAGGAUCCAGCCUGUGCCCCCCGGCAGUGGAAACAUGGAGUCCUAACCACUGAACCAUCAGGGAAGUCCCUUAUUUUCAUUUUUUUUAAUUGAAGUAUAGUUGUACAAUAUUAAUAAGUUACGGGUGUGUAAUAUGUAUGUGCUAAGUUGCUUCAGUGGU
RNAcentral lists this long non-coding RNA (1274 nucleotides) under Bos grunniens (domestic yak). Its description in RNAcentral is "lncRNA (ENSBGRG00000014172.1)". The record is from RNAcentral. Lineage: Eukaryota; Metazoa; Chordata; Mammalia; Artiodactyla; Bovidae.